This 222-nucleotide long non-coding RNA is filed under the name Elaeis guineensis (African oil palm). RNAcentral's name for it is "long non-coding RNA (EGUI_LNC068900)". The record is from RNAcentral. Lineage: Eukaryota; Viridiplantae; Streptophyta; Magnoliopsida; Arecales; Arecaceae.
UGAUAUGUCUGUGGAAUUGAUUCCAUCAAUUGCUUUUCUUUUUCUUUCUCCACAACCCUCCCAAUAGUUUACCAAUGCCACGUAUCCUUUGGGUAUUAUUCUUUCUUGCAGCAAUUAAGCAAAGAAGAUGCUUGAAUUAUACUAAUAGAAAACUUCCUUCACCAAUUCAAAGGACAUGAAGACACUAUUUAAACCUACCCGUUCUUCUAUAGUCGAGUAGCU